AGUGAACGCUGGCGGCAGGCCUAAUACAUGCAAGUCGAACGGCAGCACAGCAGAGCUUGCUCUGUGGGUGGCGAGUGGGCGGACGGGUGAGGAAUACGUGGGAAUCUGCCCAGUCGUGGGGAUAACGUAGGGAAACUUACGCUAAUACCGCAUGCGCCCUUCGGGGAAAGCCGGGGACCGUUCGGGCCUGGCGCGAUUGGAUGAGCCCACGUCGGAUUAGCUAGUUGGCGGGGUAAAGGCCCACCAAGGCGACGAUCCGUAGCUGGUCUGAGAGGAUGAUCAGCCACACUGGAACUGAGACACGGUCCAGACUCCUACGGGAGGCAGCAGUAGGGAAUAUUGGACAAUGGGCGCAAGCCUGAUCCAGCCAUGCCGCGUGAGUGAAGAAGGCCCUCGGGUUGUAAAGCUCUUUUGUCCGGAAAGAAAAGCGCCGGGUUAAUACCCUGGUGUCCUGACGGUACCGGAAGAAUAAGCACCGGCUAACUUCGUGCCAGCAGCCGCGGUAA
This 506-nucleotide ribosomal RNA is filed under the name uncultured bacterium. RNAcentral describes it as "bacterial SSU rRNA". It matches the Rfam family "Bacterial small subunit ribosomal RNA", at positions 29 to 523 of the family's 1533-position model. The record is from RNAcentral.